This is a transfer RNA of 72 nucleotides. It matches the Rfam family "tRNA". From Rfam's summary of the family: Transfer RNA (tRNA) molecules are approximately 80 nucleotides in length. Their secondary structure includes four short double-helical elements and three loops (D, anti-codon, and T loops). The record is from Rfam.
GUCGAUGUAGUAUAGUGGUUAGUACUUCCGCUUGUGGCGCGGACGACUCGUGUUCGAUUCACGACAUCGACA